Long non-coding RNA from Polypterus senegalus (gray bichir), 814 nucleotides. RefSeq lists it as uncharacterized. The record is from RefSeq and is a predicted model, not a curated record. NCBI's taxonomy places the organism in Eukaryota, Metazoa, Chordata, Cladistia, Polypteriformes, Polypteridae. The transcript has 4 exons.
UCCGCUCCUCUAUAUCCACCUCUUCCAACACCACUGCAAAUACUGCAUUUCACACACAGCAUAGAGUCUUCACUUUAGAGAAGUGGCUAACGAUGGUUGUUCCGCUCGCUUACAAAAAUGCAUUGCUUGGAUUGAUUUGAAGGUAAAGGCGAUUACAGAUACCGUCACAGGACCCCCGAACUCCCCACCCGAAGUCCCGAAAGCUUGAAGAAUCAUCAACCUCAAUAGAGAAAAGAAGUCCUUUUGGUCAAAAGCAUGUGACCUUUUUUCCUUUUGACUCGGCUCUUUGCUUGACACGCUACUAGCUCUACUGUAAUGCGAUCAUUGAAAAGACAGGAGAGUCUUCAGAUCCUCUACAUUCUUUACAACUUGUGUCCAUGACACUGGGCAGUGAACACAAUGUUUUCAACCGGCCUAUUGGAGUCACUGCAGAGUAACAAGACUGCUAGUCGCUAACUCUGGAAGUUUCCAUUACCUGUAGCCUACCCAUCAAAUUUGGUGUGUGUUUUGAAAUGUCUGUGUGCUUUAAUUGUAUUGUUUACAACACUUAAUAAUUUAGUUGUACUAGCUGACUUACCCGCCAUUUCCUAAUGCAAGAAAUUAAAAAAAUAAAAAUGAAUUAUAAACUUGCAUUUAAUAUGUAAUCUAACAUUUAUUAGUAUUGGGAAGUGAAUUUUAUACAAUAUUCUUGCACCCCCUAUUGCAGUUAGCAAGGCUACAGACAAUAUACAGAGCCGGCUAUACUUCCUUAAAAGGCUGGCGUCCUUCAACAUCUGCAAUAAGAUGCUGCAGAUGUUCUAUCAGGCGGUUGUGG